GAGUAGAGUUAGCUGUUGAUCAGAAGGAUGGAUAAAACUGCAGAGGCAAAAGGAAGUGUUGCUUUUUUUUUUUUUCUUUCCGAACUCAGUAGCUAUGGCUAUUGGGGAUUUUGUUGUUGUUGUUGUUUUCUGAUUACUUAUUUAAAUGUAUGCAUAUCUGCACAUGCAUGCAUGUGCCUGAGGAGGCCUGGAACUUCAGCUCAUAGAUGGUUACAGGAUGUUGAGAGCCUCCUAAUUUAAGUGCUGACACUGACCUGUAGUCCUUUGGAAAAGCAUGCAGCCCCUGUAGGCUUUCUUAAUGUGUUUUCUACAUUAUUUAAAUUUUCCCCAUUGUAACUGUUAGUUUUCUGCUAUUUCUAUAAUAAAAGAUGACAAGUUGAGUGUUUGUAACAACAGAAAAUUAUUGUUCUCUGGUUCUGGAAGCCAGAAACCUAAAUUCUAAUGGUUUGCAGGGCUAUUACCUCCUCUAAAAACACGUGAGGCCAAUCUUCUGGUUAUCUAGCAAGCAGUGAACACUAGUGUUUGCUAGUGCUUAGAACUCCUUGGCUUGGAAAUGUAUCCCUUCAGUUUCUGCCUUUGCUGUCACAUGAGUUGCUUCUCCCUGUCGUCUAGGGUAAGGACUCUGCUGCUUCCACAUGCCCAUUGAAAAAUAGAGCCCGUGUCUCUAGCUGCAUAUGUAGCAGAAGAUGGCCUAGUUGGCCAUUAUUGGGAGGAGAGGCCCUGGGUGUUGUGGAGAUUCUAUGCCCCAAUACAGAGGAAUGCCAGGGCCAGGAAGCAGGAGUGGGUGGGUUGGGGAGCAGGGCAGGGGGAGGGUAGAGAGGAGUUUUGGGAUAGAAUUUGAAAUGUAAAUGAAGAAAAUAUCUAAUAAAAACAAAAAUAAAAUAAAAGCACACCCCUCUACG
Molecule: long non-coding RNA, 902 nt
Filed under: Mus musculus (house mouse)
Lineage: Eukaryota; Metazoa; Chordata; Mammalia; Rodentia; Muridae
Description: long non-coding RNA chr15:41805023-41805925
Source: RNAcentral